This is a non-coding RNA of Pangasianodon gigas (Mekong giant catfish), 73 nucleotides long. NCBI's taxonomy places the organism in Eukaryota, Metazoa, Chordata, Actinopteri, Siluriformes, Pangasiidae. The record is from the annotation of a GenBank genome assembly.
UCCCUGGUGGUCUAGUGGCUAAGGAUACCAUGUUCUUGCCACUGUGGCCUGGGUUCGAUUCCUGGAUAGGGAC